This 521-nucleotide ribosomal RNA is filed under the name uncultured bacterium. Its description in RNAcentral is "partial 16S ribosomal RNA". It matches the Rfam family "Bacterial small subunit ribosomal RNA", at positions 28 to 523 of the family's 1533-position model. The record is from RNAcentral.
GACGAACGCUGGCGGCGUGCCUAAUACAUGCAAGUUGAACGCUUCUUUCUUAUCGAACUUCGGUUCACCAAGAAAGAAGAGUAGCGAACGGGUGAGUAACACGUGGGUAACCUGCCCAUCAGUGGGGGAUAACACUUGGAAACAGGUGCUAAUACCGCAUAAUACUUUUUCUCUCAUGAGUGAAAGUUGAAAGGCGCUUUUGCGUCACUGAUGGAUGGACCCGCGGUGCAUUAGCUAAUUGGUAGGGUAACGGCCUACCAAGGCAACGAUGCAUAGCGGACCUGAGAGGGUGAGCGGCCUCACUGGGACUGAGACACGGCCCAGACUCCUACGGGAGGCAGCAGUAGGGAAUCUUCGGCAAUGGACGAAAGUCUGACCGAGCAACGCCGCGUGAGUGAAGAAGGUUUUCGGAUCGUAAAACUCUGUUGUUAGAGAAGAACAAGGAUGAGAAGAGAAUGUUCAUCCCUUGACGGUAUCUAACCAGAAAGCCACGGCUAACUACGUGCCAGCCGCCGCCGUAA